GCGUCGGCUGAGUAUGGGCGUACUCAAGUGGCUGUAACGCACCCGCCUGCGGGCAUUGAUGGUUCGAAUCCGUCCCGACGCA
RNAcentral lists this transfer RNA (82 nucleotides) under Planctopirus limnophila DSM 3776. RNAcentral's name for it is "tRNA-Tyr". Lineage: Bacteria; Pseudomonadati; Planctomycetota; Planctomycetia; Planctomycetales; Planctomycetaceae. The record is from RNAcentral.